RNAcentral lists this transfer RNA (66 nucleotides) under Collocalia linchi linchi. RNAcentral's name for it is "tRNA-Phe". Lineage: Eukaryota; Metazoa; Chordata; Aves; Apodiformes; Apodidae. The record is from RNAcentral.
CCUGUAGCUUAACCAAAGCAUGGCACUGAAGAUGCCAAGAUGGCAGCCACCCUGCGCCCAAGGACA